Molecule: RNA transcript, 1363 nt
Organism: Mizuhopecten yessoensis (Yesso scallop)
Lineage: Eukaryota; Metazoa; Mollusca; Bivalvia; Pectinida; Pectinidae
Exons: 3
Source: RefSeq, a predicted model, not a curated record
ACCGUCAAGAAAACGACAAAGAAAAGGCCUUGCUCCAGCUGACACUCAGACUGCUUCCCCUUCUGCGGAAAAUGCUACACAUAGUCCUGCUGCCACAGAGUUAGUCCAAACUAUUGUCAACAUCAACUACUGGGCCACAGAGAACGCCAACAACAUGUGCAAAGUCAAUGUUGAUCGACAAUAGCUUAACAUGUUCACCACAUGCACCCAGAUCAAUCACCACGGCCACAUCACCGAUACAUCAAUACUCCAAUUCAGUUACAAUGAACAAUAUUCCUUACGACAUUACUGAAGAACAACCCAACACUUCGACAGCCAUUCCACCUACCACAAGUGCCACAUUAGGUAACAAUCCUACUACAGACAUUGGUCAUGACCAAGGUGGAAAAAGAACCUGCGGAUACUUUUGUGAGUGACAGUUCUGUGAUGACACUAAUUAGACUGGAACGACACCAGUUGAUUAUGAGGUAUGGUGCUGGAAUGAAAUGGCUCAUUUGAUGAGGGGGAUGCUCCUGCAAAUUGCAAAGCAAUGGACGAUGCAGACUGUAUGACACCCACCAAUGGCAGAGGUCAGUGUGGGCCCCAGGUCAUGUGUCUGUGAAGGCUCUUGGCUGAGUAUAGUGGUCUGCUCCAUGGCCAAUUAUGAUGACUCCGGUGUGGCAAUUGGGUUCGUCACCUGCGACGUAUGUGGUACCACAUGUGGUGGUAAGGUAGCGUGUGGUUCCUUCAUCUGUGAAGAUGUUGAAGGGCCUGGUGUGGAAAUGUUGUGUUGUUGACCUUGACGGGGCUGGGUUUCACGAUGAAAUUGAAGACGAGCUUCUACAAUACCUGCAUUGAAAGCCUCUAAUCAUGCCUUCCAACUGAACGGAAUAUUGAUUAAAAUAUGCCGGAUCUUCAACCCGUGAUGAUACAUCUGUGGUAGUGGCCCACGGUGGCCGGUAAAGUCCGAGUUGAUGGAGGAGCAUAUGGGUUUGCGACAGCCGCCCGUCUCCUUGGAGUGACCUCCUUUGAGCUCCUCUUUUUUGGAGCCAUAGCCUACAAUCAAAAACAAUACAGAGCGCAGAAAACUAGAACAUAGAACUGUUGAACAACCAUAAAUACAUGAACACCAAGGGGUAAAUUGCUUUUUUAUAUGUAUAUUCAGUUAACCCCAUAGGAGUCACCCAAAAGGGGUGCCCAGACAAGGGUCACACCGUUAUUUUCGUAUCACUAGUGCACGGCCGAUUUUACACCUUCAUAUAGAAAAGGAAGUAUGGCGUUUAUGUAAACUGCAAGCAGUAAACAUGAUCAACCGACACCUGGGACCCAAUACUAGUUCAAACAUUAUUAUGACAAUGUAUUUUGUAAAAAAAUAUAUGAACAC